ACUUGAAUUGAAGAGUUUGAUCAUGGCUCAGAUUGAACGCUGGCGGCAGGCUUAACACAUGCAAGUCGAACGGUAGCAGGAGAAAGCUUGCUUUCUUGCUGACGAGUGGCGGACGGGUGAGUAAUGCUUGGGAAUCUGGCUUAUGGAGGGGGAUAACGACGGGAAACUGUCGCUAAUACCGCGUAAUAUCGAAAGAUUAAAGUGUGGGACCUUCGGGCCACAUGCCAUAGGAUGAGCCCAAGUGGGAUUAGGUAGUUGGUGGGGUAAAGGCCUACCAAGCCUGCGAUCUCUAGCUGGUCUGAGAGGAUGACCAGCCACACUGGAACUGAGACACGGUCCAGACUCCUACGGGAGGCAGCAGUGGGGAAUAUUGCGCAAUGGGGGGAACCCUGACGCAGCCAUGCCGCGUGAAUGAAGAAGGCCUUAGGGUUGUAAAGUUCUUUUCGGGUAUGAGGAAAGGUUAUUUAUCC
Molecule: ribosomal RNA, 470 nt
Filed under: Haemophilus influenzae 6P18H1
Lineage: Bacteria; Pseudomonadati; Pseudomonadota; Gammaproteobacteria; Pasteurellales; Pasteurellaceae
Description: bacterial SSU rRNA
Rfam family: Bacterial small subunit ribosomal RNA
Source: RNAcentral